GAUGAACGCUGGCGGUCUGCUUAAUACAUGCAAGUCGAACGGACCCUUCGGGGUUAGUGGCGGACGGGUGAGUAACGCGUGAGAAUCUGCCUUCAGGUCUGGGACAACAGAAGGAAACUUCUGCGUAAUCCCGGGAUGAGCCUUUUGGUAAAAGAUAAAUUGCCUGGAGAUGAGCUCGCGUCUGAUUAGCUAGUUGGUGUGGUAAAAAGCCAUACCAAGGCAACGAUCA
This 229-nucleotide ribosomal RNA is filed under the name uncultured cyanobacterium. Its description in RNAcentral is "partial 16S ribosomal RNA". It matches the Rfam family "Bacterial small subunit ribosomal RNA", at positions 28 to 282 of the family's 1533-position model. The record is from RNAcentral. Lineage: Bacteria; Bacillati; Cyanobacteriota.